RNAcentral lists this ribosomal RNA (465 nucleotides) under uncultured bacterium. RNAcentral describes it as "partial 16S ribosomal RNA". It matches the Rfam family "Bacterial small subunit ribosomal RNA", at positions 338 to 795 of the family's 1533-position model. The record is from RNAcentral.
CCUACGGGAGGCUGCAGUGGGGAAUAUUGCGCAAUGGGCGAAAGCCUGACGCAGCGACGCCGCGUGAGGGAUGAAGGUCUUCGGAUCGUAAACCUCUGUCAGCAGGGAAGAACGGUCACUGUGCUAAUCAGCAGUGAAUUGCCGGUACCUGCAAAGGAAGCACCGGCUAACUCCGGGCCAGCAGCCGCGGUAAUACGGGGGGUGCGAGCGUUAAUCGGAUUGACUGGGCGUAAAGCGCUCGUAGGCGGUAUGUCAAGUCAAGGGUGAAAUCCCCGCGCUCAACGUGGGAACUACCUUUGAAACUGGAAAACUGGAGUGUGGGAGAGGAUAGUGGAAUUCCAGGUGUAGGAGUGAAAUCCGUAGAUAUCUGGAGGAACAUCAGUGGCGAAGGCGACUAUCUGGCACAUAACUGACGCUGAGGAGCGAAAGCGUGGGUAGCAAACAGGAUUAGAUACCCUAGUAGUC